UGUCGCUGUUACUUGUGAUAGAGGUGU
This 27-nucleotide non-coding RNA is filed under the name Bombyx mori (domestic silkworm). Lineage: Eukaryota; Metazoa; Arthropoda; Insecta; Lepidoptera; Bombycidae. The record is from RNAcentral.